ACCGAGGUAGCUCAACGGGCAGAGCAUCAAGUUCGGAACUUGACCGCGGAGGUUCGAUUCCUCCCCUCGGAACAA
Molecule: transfer RNA, 75 nt
Filed under: Candidatus Kaiserbacteria bacterium RIFCSPLOWO2_01_FULL_55_25
Lineage: Bacteria; Candidatus Kaiseribacteriota
Description: tRNA-Pro
Rfam family: tRNA
About the family: Transfer RNA (tRNA) molecules are approximately 80 nucleotides in length.
Source: RNAcentral